GGAGGGUGCGAGCGUUAAUCGGGAUUACUGGGCGUAAAGGGCACGUAGGUGGAUAGUUAGGUGAGAUGUGAAAUACCCGGGCUUAACCUGGGGGGGUCAUCUGAAACUGGCUGUCUAGAGUACAGUAGAGGAAAGUGGAAUUUCCGGUGUAGCGGUGAAAUGCGUAGAUAUCGGAAGGAACACCAGUGGCGAAGGCGACUUUCUGGACUGUAACUGACACUGAGGUGCGAAAGCGUGGGUAGCGAACAGGAUUAGAUACCCUGGUAGUCCACGCUGUAAACGAUGAGAACUAGCUGUUUGGGAUAUAGAAAUUCUGAGUGGCGUAGCUAACGCGCUAAGUUCUCCGCCUGGGGAUACGGCCGCAAGGUUA
Molecule: ribosomal RNA, 370 nt
Filed under: uncultured organism
Description: partial 16S ribosomal RNA
Rfam family: Bacterial small subunit ribosomal RNA
Source: RNAcentral